GCUACAGUGGUCUAAUGGCUUAGGACACUCGUACGGAAUUCAAGAGAUUCGGGUUCAAGUUCCGGCUGAGGUA
This 73-nucleotide transfer RNA is filed under the name Atta cephalotes. It matches the Rfam family "tRNA". From Rfam's summary of the family: Transfer RNA (tRNA) molecules are approximately 80 nucleotides in length. Their secondary structure includes four short double-helical elements and three loops (D, anti-codon, and T loops). The record is from Rfam by way of RNAcentral. Lineage: Eukaryota; Metazoa; Arthropoda; Insecta; Hymenoptera; Formicidae.